GUGUCGAUGAAGAGCGCAGCCAACUGUGUGAAUUUAUGUGAACUGCAUGCUCAUUUGAACAUCGACAUCUUGAACGCACAUUGCGGCCACGGGUUUGCUCGUGGCCACGUCUGUCCGAGGGUCGGUUU
RNAcentral lists this ribosomal RNA (128 nucleotides) under Bathycreadium elongatum. Its description in RNAcentral is "partial 5.8 ribosomal RNA". It matches the Rfam family "5.8S ribosomal RNA", at positions 30 to 154 of the family's 154-position model. From Rfam's summary of the family: 5.8S ribosomal RNA (5.8S rRNA) is a component of the large subunit of the eukaryotic ribosome. It is transcribed by RNA polymerase I as part of the 45S precursor that also contains 18S and 28S rRNA. Lineage: Eukaryota; Metazoa; Platyhelminthes; Trematoda; Plagiorchiida; Opecoelidae. The record is from RNAcentral.